This 65-nucleotide transfer RNA is filed under the name Allonychiurus kimi. RNAcentral describes it as "tRNA-Val". The record is from RNAcentral. Lineage: Eukaryota; Metazoa; Arthropoda; Collembola; Poduromorpha; Onychiuridae.
AUUCAUAGAGCUUGUGAAAGUAUUUUAUUUACAUUAAAAAUAUCUAUAGAAUUAUAGUAUGAAUA